GAUGAACGCUGGCGGCGUGCUUAACACAUGCAAGUCGAACGGAAAGGCCCAAGCUUUCUUGGGUACUCGAGUGGCGAACGGGUGAGUAACACGUGGGUGACCUGCCCUGCACUUCGGGAUAAGCCUAGGAAACUGGGUCUAAUACCGGAUAGGACGAUGGUUUGGAUGCCAUUGUGGAGAGUUUUUGCGCUGUGGGAGGAGCACGCGCGCUAUCAGCUUGUUUGUGGGGUAAUGGCCUACCAAGGCGUCGACGGGGAGCCGGCCUGUGAGGGUGUAAGGGCACACUUGGAGUGUGAGACGGCGCAGAGACUUACAGGGGGGAGAGGAGGGGAGAAUUGUGCAAAAGGGGCGAGAGUCAUAUAGAGACGCGGCGUGGGGGGUGAGGGGGUUUGCGGGGUAAACACCGUUUGCGAGGGACGAGGCGUGUGAGUGACGGUACUGGGUGAAGAAGCACCGGCUAACUACGUG
Molecule: ribosomal RNA, 468 nt
Filed under: uncultured bacterium
Lineage: Bacteria
Description: partial 16S ribosomal RNA
Rfam family: Bacterial small subunit ribosomal RNA
Source: RNAcentral